Molecule: long non-coding RNA, 2247 nt
Organism: Symphalangus syndactylus (siamang)
Lineage: Eukaryota; Metazoa; Chordata; Mammalia; Primates; Hylobatidae
Source: RefSeq, a predicted model, not a curated record
CGGCUGUCUUUCGGAAAGCACUCUUUGGGAAUGUAGUUCCUAAAUCAGCUGUCAUAUUGAACAAACACUCAAUCAAGCCAUAUUUUAUUCUCUGAGCACUCUUUUGAAACUUUAGUCAUCCAGGAAAUGCUGCAAAUGCACCACUGGUCCUUGAUGGACAUGCCAGGAAGAGCAACGAGGGGAGACAAGGUGCCCAGGGCCAUGAACACAUCACUUGGUCUGCACUAAGAGAGUUCCAGCCACAGAUAAAGAAUCUUCAUUGCCAACUUUGACCUGAAAGCAAUGACUGGGUCAACUAAGCACCCUGUGUUCGUUACUGAGAAAUAAAUUCAAAGAGCUAACAUGGCACCAUCUUGGAAGCCAAAAGCUAAAAAAAAAAAAAAUGUUGUUGCAAUUCAAACUCCACUUAAGUUCUAUCAAAUACCUGGACUGUUCAAUCCCACUAGAAACCUUUACUGAACCCCUGCUAUAUAUUUAGCAGGCUGCUGGGCACUUGAGAAUAUACGAAUAUGUGGGUAUCUGGGAAAGGAAAGGCAUUAGGAAUGUGGGAUGGGGUGACCAGAGCCCUAGCUGCCCUGCUGUGUAGAUGCAUGAGUGAGAAGUUCAGCCUCCCUCCCAAGCAGACACAUCUGCUUCAAAGGCUAGUGCUGCCGUUUACUGGCUGUGUUUCCUCCGUCAAGUUAAUUAACUUCUCUGAGCCUCAUUCCAGCCAUUAGAGCUAUCUUAAACUAUAUUCACAUUCUGGUUAAAUGUCGACAAUAAAUAGAAUCCUAACUAACAAGACUGUGAGAACAAAAUGAGAAGCAUGAAACAGCCUAACUUAGGAGAGUGCCUAACACAUAGUAAGUGGUCAAGACAGCAACUUUUCUAGGAAAGCCAAGCAACUAAAUUUAAUGUGGACCAAAAAAAGGGCAUUCGCAGGGCAAGGGGCAAAAUCUGAAGAGUGACUAUACAGUCAUUAAAAUUGCUGUAGCGAUGCAUAUUUCCUGAUUUUGAUAACUGCGCUGUGGUUAUGUAUUAUUUCAGGAGGCUGGGUGAAGGAUACAUGGGAAUGCUUUAUAUAAUUUUUGCAACCUUUUUGUAAAUGUGUAACUAUUGAAAUGAAACAUCAACUCCUUUCAUGCAUGUGUCUAUUCCACCCCAUAAAAGUUUAAAUCCUAACUGGGGAGACAGCAGGUGUGAACAUGAGACCAUCCCAGAACAACAAGAAGAGGAGGUUGUGCGGUGCCAGUGCUCGCAUGGGUCAGAAAGGGUAGGAGCUGAGGGAGCCACAGACCUUCUAGAACUCCCUGCUUAAUGCCUCGAUUCCCCUCAAGUUCAUGGUCAGCCUUCCCUUGGACAGAAUGAUUGCCCAAGACCCUUUUUACUUGAUGGAGACAACAAUGCAAUUCCCCCCACUAUUCCUGGGGAGGGUGAGGCAUGACACUCCCAGUGCAAGAGGCUGAGAGACAUGCUUCAGAGUGGGCUGCUGAGCAGCAAAGGUGAUGGUGAGUCAGGGCAGCGGAGGGAGACACGGCCACUCACAGGGGACAGAGGAGCUGGGAACACAAACAUGGAGCUCUAAGCCCUGCAGAAGGGACACCACAGCUGGGAGUCCAAGGAGAGCGCAUGUACCCAUGCCUUGGGGAGGCUGCCAUACCUCCAGCAUGCCAGCUGCCAUGACACCUCCUGGUAAGGACAGACAGUCACAGGGCUCACACGCGGUGGCCAGGCUCAGCAUUCCCUUGGCUUUUCUUGCCACUGAGGGCACUGGGCGGAGCAGCCCUGCGGUGGUCUGAUGUGGAAGGUCAGUAGAUUCUCUGUGGCCAUGUCCACUUUGGUCAGAGAGUGCUGGGGAAUGAAGAGGGGUGAGUCCAGCCUUCUCUGGAGUGGUCCCUUGUGGACUGUUGUCCAUGACCUCCUCCUGUGUCACUCGAACUCUCACCUCAUGGUCCAGGAAGGCUCCUGCUUUGCACCUUCAACUCCCAUCUCCCUCCAUCACAGUGGUAACAAGAAGUUACCACUGGAAUUUUCUUUGGAACUGAAAGUUUCUGUGGGCAAAAGUCCAGCAGCUUCUGUUCAGAACAUGUAUAAAUAUUUUUUCCUUCUUCACCUCCCUCAUGGAUAUUUUAUGCUUGGAUCAUGUAUGGUCAGUGGGGGAGAAUCGAGUUUUACUAGGACUUCCGAUGGGUGAAUACUGGCAGCUGCAAAACUCCAUCACAUUAAAAAAAAAAAAAAAAAAAAGUCCAAGGUGUUUUCUCCAUACAA